UUACUGGGCGUAAAGAGCUCGUAGGUGGUUUGUCGCGUUGUUCGUGAAAUCUCACGGCUUAACUGUGAGCGUGCGGGCGAUACGGGCAGACUUGAGUACUGCAGGGGAGACUGGAAUUCCUGGUGUAGCGGUGGAAUGCGCAGAUAUCAGGAGGAACACCGGUGGCGAAGGCGGGUCUCUGGGCAGUAACUGACGCUGAGGAGCGAAAGCGUGGGGAGCGAACAGGAUUAGGUACCCUGGUAGUCCACGCCGUAAACGGUGGGUACUAGGUGUGGGUUUCCUUCCUUGGGAUCCGUGCCGUAGCUAACGCAUUAAGUACCCCGCCUGGGGAGUACGGCCGCAAGGCUAAAACUCAAAGAAAUUGACGGGGGCCCGCACAAGCGGCGGAGCAUGUGGAUUAAUUCGAUGCAACGCGAAGAACCUUACCUGGGUUUGACAUGCACAGGACGCCGGCAGAGAUGUCGGUUCCCUUGUGGCCUGUGUGCANGUGGUGCAUGGCUGUCGUCAGCUCGUGUCGUGAGAUG
This 524-nucleotide ribosomal RNA is filed under the name uncultured bacterium. RNAcentral's name for it is "bacterial SSU rRNA". It matches the Rfam family "Bacterial small subunit ribosomal RNA", at positions 551 to 1074 of the family's 1533-position model. The record is from RNAcentral.